RNAcentral lists this long non-coding RNA (224 nucleotides) under Panax ginseng (ginseng). Its description in RNAcentral is "long non-coding RNA (PGIN_LNC012710)". The record is from RNAcentral. Lineage: Eukaryota; Viridiplantae; Streptophyta; Magnoliopsida; Apiales; Araliaceae.
UGGUUAGCCUAGUUCUCGCGCCGCGGCGCGGGUACAAAAGUCUGAGUCGGACAGUUUUGGCCUCCUGUAGUAAAACGGCUAUAACUUUCUCAUAUGAACUCCGAUUGAGUUGAUUCAAGAUGAUCCAGAACGAGGACGAAUAGACCUACAACGUUCAUGCUUUAAGUGUUUUAAGUUGAGGUCUUUAACAGUAGUGAGUUAACACAAUCUAAUUGAACAUUGUG